This 396-nucleotide ribosomal RNA is filed under the name Proteus mirabilis. RNAcentral describes it as "bacterial SSU rRNA". It matches the Rfam family "Bacterial small subunit ribosomal RNA", at positions 997 to 1392 of the family's 1533-position model. The record is from RNAcentral. Lineage: Bacteria; Pseudomonadati; Pseudomonadota; Gammaproteobacteria; Enterobacterales; Morganellaceae.
CCUUUAGAGAUAGAGGAGUGCCUUCGGGAACGCUGAGACAGGUGCUGCAUGGCUGUCGUCAGCUCGUGUUGUGAAAUGUUGGGUUAAGUCCCGCAACGAGCGCAACCCUUAUCCUUUGUUGCCAGCACGUAAUGGUGGGAACUCAAAGGAGACUGCCGGUGAUAAACCGGAGGAAGGUGGGGAUGACGUCAAGUCAUCAUGGCCCUUACGAGUAGGGCUACACACGUGCUACAAUGGCAGAUACAAAGAGAAGCGACCUCGCGAGAGCAAGCGGAACUCAUAAAGUCUGUCGUAGUCCGGAUUGGAGUCUGCAACUCGACUCCAUGAAGUCGGAAUCGCUAGUAAUCGUAGAUCAGAAUGCUACGGUGAAUACGUUCCCGGGCCUUGUACACACCG